CUCACUCCUAUCCUUUACACCAUUGGGUUAUGCCCCGAGGGACAACUAAUUAUAUUACCUAUUGUAGUGUGCUACUUCAUUUGAUGCUUAACUAUUGUAAUGUGUCAAAUUCCUUGGUGUUUAGGAGGUCAAUUCUGUAUUAUCCGUAAUUUUCACUGUAGAUUUUGUAUCCCCAUUAUUUAUCAUAAAUAUUUACAUUUAUCUUCUCUUGUUAGAGUCUUCUCGUUAAAAAAAAAAAAAAGAGAGAGAGACCAAAAAUUUGAACCAAUAAUUGAAAAUUUGUUAAAUUACAAAAUGUUAUAAAAUUAUAAAGGUAAUUAGCAUAAAAUAUCUUCAUCCUUUAAUGUCUAUACCUUUCGUCUUUUUAACAUUUUCACCCAUAUUUUUACAUUUUUAAUGUUGAAAAAGGUCAUUUUCAUCCAAUUUUUUAAUUUACAAAUGUAAAAUAACAAAUAUAUCCUCCUAUUUAAAUAAAACCAAAAACAAAAAAGUUAAAGAACAAAUUGUAAUUAUACUCCCAAACUUUUUUAAAAAACUACAAAUGAGUUCAAAUAAAUUAUUAAAGGGAUAAUUAGCACAAAACGUCCGUAACUUUCCAUAUUAUUGUGCAAAACGUCUCUACCUUUUAUCUUUUACUUUUAUUUUCAUAUUACAUUACGAAAAUCAUUAUUUCAUCCAUUUUCUCAACUAAAAGCUGCAAAAUAACAAAUAUAUCUUCCUAUUUAAAUAAAAUAAAAAAAAUAAAGAACGAAUUUUAACUAUACUCCAAAAUUUUUUAUAAUGUACAGAUAAAUUUAAAUAAAUGAUUAAAAAAAAGAAAAUUCAUUAUUUCUAUUUUAUUUAAAUAGGAGGGUAUAUUCACCAUAUUGUAGUUUUUAUUUGAAAAAAUGAAUUAAAAUGAUGAUUUUUUGCAAUAAAAUGCGAAAAUAAGGAUGAAAAUGUCAAAAAUGAAAGAUAGAGACGUUUUGCAACAAUGAUAUUGAAAGAUUGUGCUUAUUACACUUUUAAUAAGUUAUUUGGAUUCACUUGUGGUUUUUUAAAAAGUCUGGGAGUAUAAUUGUAAUUUGUUCUUUAAUUUUUUUCUUGUUUUAUUUAAAUAUGAGAAUAUAUUUGUCAUUUUAUAUUUGUUUAAUUGAGAAAUUGGAGUGCAAUGAAAUGUGAAAUAUGGGUGAAAAUG
RNAcentral lists this long non-coding RNA (1177 nucleotides) under Olea europaea subsp. europaea. Lineage: Eukaryota; Viridiplantae; Streptophyta; Magnoliopsida; Lamiales; Oleaceae. The record is from RNAcentral.